RNAcentral lists this long non-coding RNA (531 nucleotides) under Brassica napus (rape). Its description in RNAcentral is "long non-coding RNA (BNAP_LNC003001)". Lineage: Eukaryota; Viridiplantae; Streptophyta; Magnoliopsida; Brassicales; Brassicaceae. The record is from RNAcentral.
AUGAGUUCGGUUCUGAUGUAUAGGAACUUAAGAAUAUCUAAAUAACAAAUAUAUCUGAACAUAUAUUUGACUUUCCCCUUGAAAAUAACAGCUAGAAAAAGGGACCCUUUGUGUGAAGAACCAAAGACGAAUACUAUUAUUAUUUUCUAUGAAAAAAGUUUGAAUAAGGGAGGUGAGUAUGAAAUAGAAAGAUAGAUGGAAGCUAAAGAAGCAAGGUUUAUAUAAGGUUUUUUUUCUUUUGGUUCACAUAUGGAGUACUAUAGUAUUAACAAAUAGGGUCAUUUAUUGAGGAUGGCACAUAACCAAAUAGUUUGAUUCAGAGCUUACAAAAGCAAGGUACUUUGGGAAAUGACCAAUUACAAAUUGUAUAUGAUUAAAUAUAUCCACAUUUUUAUCAGAAUUUUUUUUAAAUAGAAUACCACGAGUCAGAAGAAGUUGGCCGGUUAAUAUUAACUAUAGACCUGCGAGGACAUUGGUUUUUACAUUUUUAUACAUUGAUAUUUGUUUUUCAUAAUUAGUGUCAUAUAUUUU